This 289-nucleotide ribosomal RNA is filed under the name uncultured archaeon. Its description in RNAcentral is "partial 16S ribosomal RNA". It matches the Rfam family "Archaeal small subunit ribosomal RNA", at positions 1 to 277 of the family's 1478-position model. The record is from RNAcentral.
UCCGGUUGAUCCUGCCAGAGGCCGCUGCUAUCCGGCUGGGACUAAGCCAUGCUAGUCUAGGGGCUUGUACCCCUUCGGGGGUGCAAGCACCGGCGGAAGGCUCAGUAACACGUGGACAACCUGCCCUCGGGUGGGGGAUAACCCCGGGAAACUGGGGCUAAUCCCCCAUAGGUGAUGGGUGCUGGAAUGCCCCAUCUCCGAAAGCGCUCAGCGCCCGAGGAUGGGUCUGCGGCGGAUUAGGUAGUUGGUGGGGUAACGGCCCACCAAGCCUAAGAUCCGUACGGGCUGU